UAUUGGACAAUGGGCGGUAGCCUGAUCCAGCCAUGCCGCGUGCAGGAAGAAUGUCCUAUGGACUGUAAACUGCUUUUGUACGGGAAGAACCGGGGGCACGCGUGCCCCCCUGACGGUACCGUAAGAAUAAGGAUCGGCUAACUCCGUGCCAGCAGCCGCGGUAAUACGGAGGAUCCGAGCGUUAUCCGGAAUCAUUGGGUUUAAAGGGUCCGUAGGCGGGCGUCUAAGUCAGUGGUGAAAUCCCGCGGCUCAACCGUGGAAUUGCCAUUGAUACUGGUCGCCUUGAAUGGUCGUGAAGUGGCUAGAAUAUGUGGUGUAGCGGUGAAAUGCUUAGAUAUCACAUAGAAUACCGAUUGCGAAGGCAGGUCGCUAACGACGCAUUGACGCUGAUGGACGAAAGCGUGGGGAGCGAACAG
This 416-nucleotide ribosomal RNA is filed under the name uncultured bacterium. RNAcentral describes it as "bacterial SSU rRNA". It matches the Rfam family "Bacterial small subunit ribosomal RNA", at positions 362 to 775 of the family's 1533-position model. The record is from RNAcentral.